RNAcentral lists this ribosomal RNA (232 nucleotides) under uncultured bacterium. Its description in RNAcentral is "partial 16S ribosomal RNA". It matches the Rfam family "Bacterial small subunit ribosomal RNA", at positions 118 to 348 of the family's 1533-position model. The record is from RNAcentral.
UGAGGAACAUGACCUUCGGCGGGGGAGUAGCCGGCCCAACGGCCGGGUAAUACCGCGUACGACCACUCUGGGACAUCCCUAGGUGGUGAAAGCAGCAAUGCGCCGAUGGAGUGCCUCGCGGCCUAUCAGCUAGUUGGUGAGGUAACGGCUCACCAAGGCGACGACGGGUAGCUGGUCUGAGAGGAUGGCCAGCCACAUUGGGACUGAGACACGGCCCAGACUCCGUAGGAGG